This 22-nucleotide microRNA is filed under the name Mus musculus (house mouse). RNAcentral describes it as "mmu-miR-297b-5p". Its record names the gene mmu-miR-297b-5p. The record is from miRBase by way of RNAcentral. Lineage: Eukaryota; Metazoa; Chordata; Mammalia; Rodentia; Muridae.
AUGUAUGUGUGCAUGAACAUGU